CCCAGCCAACAGCGAUGGCUGCAGGGCCGGCGGUACCAGCAAUGCCAGGCUGUGCGAGCUGUGUGAGCCAUCUGCUCGUGCUGAGCCACUCCGGAGCCUUUCAGGAGCAGGGCUGCCUUCGGGAACACCCCGUCGGGACUGCUCUGCCGCAGAGCCCCCGUGGGAGCCCGGCACACAGCUCCCAGACAGCCUCCUCUCUUUUGCAAGAGGAGAGUGGUGGAGCUGAGAUGCUCGAAGGGACUUCUGCCUCCUGUGUGCAUGUGCCUCCCCCCAGGUGAGCUGGGGAACAGGCUGCAUCUUCUGGGCUGCUUGAAGCAUCCUGGUGUCUCCUGCAGGUGUUCUGGCCUGAACCUGACCUGCUAUCAAAGUUGGCCUUGAAGACCUGGACUGGGAGUGGAGGCUCAUCCCAAGCAAAGCCUGUAUAUAUCUUACUUUCCUGUCUUGUGCAAACUGGGGUAGUGCAGGGGUGCUUAUUUAAAGUGAGGUGGGGAGGGGGUGCCCAGCUGGGACUUCAUUGUGCAAAGGAGCACUUUGGCAUAACUGAUGCCUGCUGGUGACACGAGCCUUGAAUUGUCUCCAGCUGCAGAAGUCACCGGACUGGGAAGUAAAGCUGGGCUGCUCCAUCCUCCUUGCUGAACGUCCUCUUGAUGGAUGAGGGUAAGCGAGGGGGAUGGAGCGACAUUGCCAUAUUAUGAUCUUGGUGCCUGCUCCUUCAUUUCAUGUUGUCUUCUGCAAAUGCAUUGAUUUGGAUUUAUUUAAAAGUUUGUUUUGAAAUGAAAUGACUUUGCACAACUUGGAUUUUUUUAAAAAUACUCAAUGUGCUUGUAUCUACAUCCAACACUGCAGCAUUGGAAACAUUCUUACUCAGUAACCUCAUUUGGGCCUUGUUGUAAAUUGUGACUUCAGCACGAGUAAUUAAAAUCACUGUAUCUCUUUUGCCUUGGAAAAAGAUGAAAACACUGUUCCUUACGCAUUGAGUACAUCAGACUUUAAUACUAAAGGGUAGACUAAAGAAUUUAGGUUUAUUUAAAACUUAUUUUCACUGGGUAGCAGACCCAGGUGAAAAUAGUACUGCGUUUCUCUGGUUCAGAGAACAAAUUUACCUGUUUGUUUGUUUCCUUCCUCUCCUUCCCUUAAUGGUGGUACUGAGACUGUUUUUUUGUUUUUAAGAAUUUGCCAUGGCGAGAACUGAGAUGUAUAUGAUGUUUACAUAAAAACUAUGAACUGUGUAUGCAGUUUUUUAUGUAAAAUAUUAAAAGAUUCUAUGCUGACUUAAGA
Molecule: long non-coding RNA, 1278 nt
Filed under: Chrysolophus pictus (golden pheasant)
Lineage: Eukaryota; Metazoa; Chordata; Aves; Galliformes; Phasianidae
Description: lncRNA (ENSCPIG00010010531.1)
Source: RNAcentral